RNAcentral lists this ribosomal RNA (497 nucleotides) under uncultured bacterium. RNAcentral's name for it is "partial 16S ribosomal RNA". It matches the Rfam family "Bacterial small subunit ribosomal RNA", at positions 28 to 507 of the family's 1533-position model. The record is from RNAcentral.
GAUGAACGCUGGCGGCGUGCCUAAUACAUGCAAGUCGAGCGAACAGAUGAGGAGCUUGCUCCUCUGACGUUAGCGGCGGACGGGUGAGUAACACGUGGAUAACUAACCUAAAAGCCUGGGUUAACUUGGGGAAACCGGACCUAAUACCGGAAAAUAUAUUGAACCGCAGGGUUCAUUAGUGAAAGACGGUUUUGCUGUCACUUAAAGAUGGAUCCGCGCCGCAUUAGCUAGUUGGUAAGGUAACGGCUUACCAAGGCAACGAUGCGUAGCCGACCUGAGAGGGUGAUCGGCCACACUGGAACUGAGACACGGUCCAGACUCCUACGGGAGGCAGCAGUAGGGAAUCUUCCGCAAUGGGCUAAAGCCUGACGGAGCAACGCCGCGUGAGUGAUGAAGGUCUUCGGAUCGUAAAACUCUGUUAUUAGGGAAGAACAAAUGUGUAAGUAACUAUGCACGUCUUGACGGUACCUAAUCAGAAAGCCACGGCUAACUACGUG